Long non-coding RNA from Musa acuminata AAA Group (dessert banana), 931 nucleotides. RefSeq lists it as uncharacterized. The record is from RefSeq and is a predicted model, not a curated record. Lineage: Eukaryota; Viridiplantae; Streptophyta; Magnoliopsida; Zingiberales; Musaceae. The transcript is spliced from 5 exons.
CUUUCACUGAUCAGUUAUAUUCUGUGCAUUGAGCACAAUUUAAUGGCUAAAACAUCAAAUACUGUUGUUGAUUACAUUGGAAGUUAUGCAACUUCACAUGACUGUUUCAUUUUAGUAUAUGAUUCAUUAAUGUGAUUUCACUCCUUAUAACACAUUAUUUGCAGUAACACACUAUUUUUGUAUACUUCAAUCGAACUACAUAUAUGAAACUGUCAAGGUUCAAGCUGCAGUCAGAAUCAUCCUUGGGUGUGCCAUUGAUGGUGUCUCACUUAUAUUGCCAAACGUAAAUGGAUGUCUUGUAUGGAACAAAUAAACCAUUAAGAAUGAGGAUGAUGAUGCCAAUGAGAGCGGAAGAUCUAGCAUGGUAGAAGAAGGUUUUCAAGAAAGGUGGCAGACAAUAUCCUAUGGGACUGAAUCAUGUACAGUAAGGUGCAGUUUGGCAAGGAGGAAUGUUAUGCUGGUGUAGACCAUGUGCUACGAGAAAAGGAUUCCAUACGUUUGGUGAUGAUGCAGUCUUCUCCUUCCAGAACAAAUAAGAGGAGUUGAAGUAGGCGUUGAUGCUGGACCAGCAACGUGCUUCCCAACACUAAAUCUUAUGCCCGGAAGACCUGCUUGCAUAUCUGCUGCAUCGACAACAACCGUGUUCAAUAAAGCACUGGCAUGUGGACCAGAAAGAGUAGCACGCAUGUUGCCAUCUUACGCUAUCAUAUUUGGAGUGCCAUACCAAUCAUCUCAAGACAGCUGAAGUGGUUCGCGGAAGGAUCCUCCAUUAACCUUCUAAGAAUCGCCAUGUUCCGGAUAUCAUAUCAUAGCAACGAGGUGGGUGAAGGGUACCAACAUCGAUUUUUAUAUAUUAAAGAAUAAUUAUAGUGCAUGUACUCUCUACAGUUGAAAUAUCGAUGUCAAGCAGCCCUACAUAAUUCUUUUUCUU